GACAGAAAAGGCAAAUAAAUUAGUUUCUAUGGCUCUACUGGACGGAACUUGUACCAAUCCUCCCAUCAAUACCUUGUGUGCUUCUUCUCCAGUCAAAUUCACCUAUUACGGUUAAGAAUAUUUUUGUAUUUUUUUUUUUUACCUACAUAUUGCACCUUCGCAUUAUUAAAGCAGGUGUUUAGCAAUUUACGGA
This is a long non-coding RNA of Ipomoea nil (Japanese morning glory), 193 nucleotides long. RefSeq lists it as uncharacterized. The transcript is spliced from 2 exons. NCBI's taxonomy places the organism in Eukaryota, Viridiplantae, Streptophyta, Magnoliopsida, Solanales, Convolvulaceae. The record is from RefSeq and is a predicted model, not a curated record.